GAUGAACGCUAGCGGCAGGCCUAAUACAUGCAAGUCGGACGGGAUUCAGGAGCUUGCUUCUGAUGAGAGUGGCGCACGGGUGCGUAACACGUAUGUAACCUACCUUUAUCAGGGGGAUAGCCUCUCGAAAGAGAGAUUAAGCCCGCAUAAAAUCACAGCACAGCAUUGUGUAAUGAUCAAAUAUUUAUAGGAUAAAAAUGGGCAUGCGGAACAUUAGCUAGAUGGCGGGGUAACGGCCCACCAUGGCGACGAUGUUUAGGGGAUCUGAGAGGAUGGCCCCCCACACUGGUACUGAGACACGGACCAGACUCCUACGGGAGGCAGCAGUAAGGAAUAUUGGUCAAUGGGCGGAAGCCUGAACCAGCCAUGCCGCGUGCAGGAAGACGGCCCUACGGGUUGUAAACUGCUUUUAUACGGGAAUAAACCCAGAUACGUGUAUCUGGCUGAAUGUACUGUAAGAAUAAGGAUCGGCUAACUCCGUG
This 482-nucleotide ribosomal RNA is filed under the name uncultured bacterium. Its description in RNAcentral is "partial 16S ribosomal RNA". It matches the Rfam family "Bacterial small subunit ribosomal RNA", at positions 28 to 507 of the family's 1533-position model. The record is from RNAcentral.